This 430-nucleotide ribosomal RNA is filed under the name uncultured bacterium. RNAcentral describes it as "bacterial SSU rRNA". It matches the Rfam family "Bacterial small subunit ribosomal RNA", at positions 70 to 513 of the family's 1533-position model. The record is from RNAcentral.
AACCCGGAGCUUGCUCCGGCGGAUUAGUGGCGAACGGGUGAGUAACACGUGAGUAACCUGCCCUUGACUCUGGGAUAAGCGUUGGAAACGACGUCUAAUACCGGAUACGAGCUGGGACCGCAUGGUCACUAGCUGGAAAGAAUUUCGGUCAAGGAUGGACUCGCGGCCUAUCAGUUAGUUGGUGAGGUAAUGGCUCACCAAGACGACGACGGGUAGCCGGCCUGAGAGGGUGACCGGCCACACUGGGACUGAGACACGGCCCAGACUCCUACGGGAGGCAGCAGUGGGGAAUAUUGCACAAUGGGCGAAAGCCUGAUGCAGCAACGCCGCGUGAGGGACGACGGCCUUCGGGUUGUAAACCUCUUUUAGCAGGGAAGAAGCGAAAGUGACGGUACCUGCAGAAAAAGCACCGGCUAACUACGUGCCAGCA